AAUAGAUACCCGGGUAGUCCACGCCGUAAACGAUGAGUGCUAAGUGUUAGAGGGUUUCCGCCCUUUAGUGCUGCAGCUAACGCAUUAAGCACUCCGCCUGGGGAGUACGGCCGCAAGGCUGAAACUCAAAGGAAUUGACGGGGGCCCGCACAAGCGGUGGAGCAUGUGGUUUAAUUCGAAGCAACGCGAAGAACCUUACCAGGUCUUGACAUCCUCUGACAACCCUAGAGAUAGGGCUUUCCCCUUCGGGGGACAGAGUAACAGGUGGUGCAUGGUUGUCGUCAGCUCGUGUCGUGAGAUGUUGGGUUAAGUCCCGCAACGAGCGCAACCCUUGAUCUUAGUUGCCAGCAUUCAGUUGGGCACUCUAAGGUGACUGCCGGUGACAAACCGGAGGAAGGUGGGGAUGACGUCAAAUCAUCAUGCCCCUUAUGACCUGGGCUACACACGUGCUACAAUGGAUGGUACAAAGGGCUGCAAACCUGCGAAGGUAAGCGAAUCCCAUAAAGCCAUUCUCAGUUCGGAUUGCAGGCUG
RNAcentral lists this ribosomal RNA (532 nucleotides) under uncultured bacterium. RNAcentral describes it as "bacterial SSU rRNA". It matches the Rfam family "Bacterial small subunit ribosomal RNA", at positions 777 to 1307 of the family's 1533-position model. The record is from RNAcentral.